UCUUGCUUCAGCCAAACAUAUACUAAAAUUGGUAAAAUACAGAGAAGAUACAGGUUCCUGAGCAAGAACGACAUGAAAAUUCUUGAAGUCUUCCAUAUUUUA
Small nuclear RNA from Sorex fumeus (smoky shrew), 102 nucleotides. The record is from RefSeq and is a predicted model, not a curated record. Lineage: Eukaryota; Metazoa; Chordata; Mammalia; Eulipotyphla; Soricidae.